UGGGGAAUUUUGGACAAUGGGCGAAAGCCUGAUCCAGCAAUGCCGCGUGUGUGAAGAAGGCCUUCGGGUUGUAAAGCACUUUUGUCCGGAAAGAAAUCCUUGGCUCUAAUACAGUCGGGGGAUGACGGUACCGGAAGAAUAAGCACCGGCUAACUACGUGCCAGCAGCCGCGGUAAUACGUAGGGUGCAAGCGUUAAUCGGAAUUACUGGGCGUAAAGCGUGCGCAGGCGGUUUGCUAAGACCGAUGUGAAAUCCCCGGGCUCAACCUGGGAACUGCAUUGGUGACUGGCAGGCUAGAGUAUGGCAGAGGGGGGUAGAAUUCCACGUGUAGCAGUGAAAUGCGCAGAGAUGUGGAGGAAUACCGAUGGCGAAGGCAGCCCCCUGGGCCAAGUACUGACGCUCAUGCACGAAAGCGUGGGGAGCAAACAGGAUUAGAUACCCUGGUAGUCCACGCCCCUAAACGAUGUCAACUAGUUGUUGGGGAUUCAUUUCCUUAGUAACGUAGCUAACGCGUGAAGUUGACCGCCUGGGGAGUACGGUCGCAAGAUUAAAACUCAAAUGAAUUGACGGGGUCAUGCUGUUUCCU
Molecule: ribosomal RNA, 586 nt
Filed under: uncultured bacterium
Lineage: Bacteria
Description: partial 16S ribosomal RNA
Rfam family: Bacterial small subunit ribosomal RNA
Source: RNAcentral